AGAGUUGAUCCUGGCUUAGGAUGAACGCUAGCGACAGGCUUAACACAUGCAAGUCGAGGGGCAGCAUAAAAGUAGCAAUACUUGGUGGCGACCGGCGCACGGGUGAGUAACGCGUAUGCAACCUACCUAUCAGAGGGGAAUAACCCGGCGAAAGUCGGACUAAUACCGCAUAAAACAGGGACACCGCAUGGUGAUAUUUGUUAAAGAAAUUCGCUGAUAGAUGGGCAUGCGUUCCAUUAGGUAGUUGGUGAGGUAACGGCUCACCAAGCCGACGAUGGAUAGGGGAACUGAGAGGUUGGUCCCCCACACUGGUACUGAGACACGGACCAGACUCCUACGGGAGGCAGCAGUGAGGAAUAUUGGUCAAUGGGCGAGAGCCUGAACCAGCCAAGUCGCGUGAAGGAAAGAAGGAUCUAUGGUUCGUAAACUUCUUUUGCAGGGGAAUAAAGUGCAGGACGUGUCCUGUUUUGUAUGUACCCUGAGAAUAAGGAUCGGCUAACUCCGUGCCAGCAGCUGC
Molecule: ribosomal RNA, 517 nt
Filed under: uncultured bacterium
Lineage: Bacteria
Description: bacterial SSU rRNA
Rfam family: Bacterial small subunit ribosomal RNA
Source: RNAcentral